This is a microRNA precursor of Seriola lalandi dorsalis, 80 nucleotides long. NCBI's taxonomy places the organism in Eukaryota, Metazoa, Chordata, Actinopteri, Carangiformes, Carangidae. The record is from Ensembl.
GUCAUCAACGUUACCCUAAGACAAGCACAGACUUGAGUUCUGUAAGCAGUAAGUGCUAUUUGUUGGGGUAGUGUCGCUGA